Molecule: long non-coding RNA, 6123 nt
Organism: Equus quagga
Lineage: Eukaryota; Metazoa; Chordata; Mammalia; Perissodactyla; Equidae
Exons: 4
Source: RefSeq, a predicted model, not a curated record
GACUGUGGAGCCCAGGGCAGGCUGUCUUUGUGACUGCAGGGAAGGUACCAUCAUCAGGAAAAUUUCCGUUCCUUUUGUGGGCUCAGAGAAUUUUGGUGCCAUUCAGACUUAGGAUCAAAUCCUGCCUCCGCCACUUACCAGCUGUGUGAUCUUUGGCAGUUGUUUAACUUCUUGGUUGACUCAUCUAUGAAGUCCAUGUGUCACUGGGCCAUGAGGGGUUGAUGGAAGAUUUGUCAGAGAGGUCUGACCAUCAGCCACAGUUCCCGGGCUUGCAGCUGGAUGCAGUGACGACAUGAGAUUUUCAUUUGGGGAACCAGCCCUUGGCCACUGUUUUGCAGCCAUACAGAAUGGAGUGGGUUGAUCUGAGACCCUUCAGAUAAUCCCAUGCCCUUGGCACAGUGAUUGGAUCAGGAAGCUGGAACCUGAAUUGCUACCAACAGCCAUCUUUCAACCAGGAAAGGAGUCAGUCUAAGAAACAUGCAGAGAAGAACAAAUCUGAGAGAAGCAGAGCCAGAGUCCUGAUCAAACCUUACCUGAAGCCCACAUUACUGCUGGCCUUUUCACUUAGUCAACCAGUAAAUCCUUUUUACUGUUUGUCAGUUUGACUUGGUUAGUCUGAUACUUGCAGCCUAAACUAAUACACGAACGGAUGAAGAAAUGAACCACUUAUUACGCACAAGCUUGAGGUCAGGUUAAAAUCAGGAGCUCGAACCAAAUAGGAGGUCAAGAGUAUAGAAAUAGUCCCAGUACACCUUGAAUAAGGAGCUCUACUUCAAACAGAAAUCUUAUAUGUAACAUCAGCAGAAGAUAGUCUUCCCAGGGCUUGGACAGCACAGGUCUGAAAGCUCAAAGUGUGGCUGUGCUGCAAACUGGGGGGUGGGCCAGUGGGGAGCAGAGACUCCUCGAGGAAAGUCUUGCUAUGAGGUUUAUUCUCAUGCUAGGGAUACCUGGCUACUAUUCAAAAGCCUUCAAAGACAGUGCUAAGAGUAAAGGAAUAGUAAAAGAAGGAGAGAUGAUCAAUCAGGAAUCCUCAAUCAGCAUCAGAAAAGAAGUAGUAAAAUCUUACAGUUAAGAGUAUGGACUUGGUGGGCAGACCUGGUUUCAAAUGCUGGCUCUGCUGCUUACUGGCAAGUUGUCUGACACGCUGAGCCUUAUUGCCUCAUCUGUAAAAUGAGGGAAAAUACUAAGAACUUCUUUGAAGGUUGUUGCAAAUAUUAAAUGUGACAUCUUCUGUAAAGCCUGGAACAUAGAAAGAUUCAAUUAGUGAUGAAUAGUUUUAUUUGUUAUUAAUAGAACUAGGAUUGUUCAUAUUGGUAGAACUUUUGAAAGGCUGUUUAAAAGUUGGGUGGCUGCAAGAUUUUGUGACUUUAGCAGGAAGGCUGUCCUGGUGUAGAAUGAUCGUGUCAUUUACCUUUCAGAUUCUCUUGGUUAUUUUUGUAUCUCUCUUGCCAAACUUUGCGUAAGAGAGAAGCCAUGCUUAGUUAGAGUAAUUUCUAAUUUCCACUUGACCCUAGAGUUGCUGUAGUUAUUUCAGUGAAGUCACACUGGAGUUCUCUGGAGGGGAGAUGGGAGCCGGGUCUGAAAUUGCAAUGCCUGGUACACAGUAGGCGCUCAAUUAAUGUUCUCUGAACUUUGGGGACGGAGGGUUGAUUGUUUCCCAUCAGACAUGAUCACUAAAGGAUACUUUGGGAAGGGCCCUGAAAGAUAUAAAUAUGCCAGAUUCUCUUCUUGUUUCUGCAUUUUAACACCUUUGGGCACGGAAUUCGUUUGUGUUCUGGAAUGGGUCUAAACUUACCGUGAGAAAGAUAAGUAAGUUGUCUGCAGCCUACCUCAACUAGAAAUGCUUCUGCUCGUGGGGAUGACCUCAAAGUUUCUCAGAGCUGAAGCCAGUAAGGAGGGCCCCGCUUACUAGAAAGUUCUGCAUUGUAGUUGGUUCACUCUGUGGCCUGAGGCAAGCCAUUUAACCUCUUGGUGUCUGGAUUUCCUCAUCUGUGAGCCAGGGAUAAUAAUACUUCCCUACUUCACAGGUGUGUUGGGGCAUUAAUUAAUGUCUGUCUCGUGCUUGGGGAUCUGUGAUGAAAGGCAGGCAUCAUUAUUGUCGGUUUGCUGCAGGCAAGACUAGAUUAUGGUCCUCCAGAUGGGCUGCACAUGGGAAGUGGUUUUAGCAAAAGAUUUUCCCAAAUGAAAUACAGGCUUUGAGGUUGGGGCCACUUCAAAAGAAAAGGUGCCAGUGGAACUUCAUCCUCUCCUCCUUGCCUUAGUUGGCUUGAGUUUUGCUAUCAUGUGGAGUUAGAAGUCAGCUUCCAACACUAUAUGUUAAUUUAUCGGACAAGUAACAUUUAGCUAGUUUGUUUCCACCGUCUCUGCUAUGCACAGACUUUUAAGGAUCCCAAUUAAGUAGGUGAGCCAGCUGUUGCUGAAAACGCUUAAUUCCUUGUGAGGAGUGUUUAGUGUGUAGGAGCCAUUUAGUGUGAUAGACAAAGCCACUGUGUUUUACCAGCACCAGUGGACAAGGCAAAUAGAUAAGAGGUUUCAAUCUUUCUGUUUUGUUUUGUUUGACUCCUUCCUCCACCUCUCCGCUCUCUUAAAAAUAGCCUUCUUCACAAAAGAGCCCUGGGUGUUCUUAAAAGCUUUUAAGGAGAAACAUUUUGAGAGGACUUCUGGGCAAAGAGACCACAGUGCCUGGACAGUUAAGGGGGGACAGAAAAAAAUCUCUCUUUUGAGUACUAGACAAACUUUUGUUUUCCAAAAAUUGGAAAAAUCGAUUCAGACAUUUGUCCAAUUAAAGGGCAAAGAUAACAUUUCUUUCCCCAUGAGAAGUGUAUUUUCUCUUAUAAAUGCAGAAGAAAGCGAGAUAAAAUAUUUUCUUAAUAUUAUCAACCAUGGUAAUAGGAAAAUAAAUAGGAAGAAUCUUGUUGGUUAAUUCCUGCUGCUCAAAAUCUGCCCCGGCAGAAACGCACGUGGUGGGAGCGCUGUUAAUGCGUUUGAUUCAGUUACAAAGUAAGCAGCACGUUCAUUCAGCACAUAUUUACCUCUAUGUAUUCUAAGUGUCGGGCACUAUUCUGGACGCUGGGAAAUGAUUGAUGAGCAACACAGCAGCCCUACUGUCGUGGAGCUUCUAUUUCACCGGGGAAGAUGGAAUACACAAAGAAACAAUUCUGAGUGCCGAGGACUAACACGAGGGGAUGCGGUAGAGUUCGGCGGGGAUUCCGUUUGGAGGGCCAGAACGGCCUCUCGGGGAGGUGGCUGUAAGAUAGUAAGGACUCACGGUGGGAGCAAAGUGGAAGACUUUAACGUUAGAAAAUGACUUUGCUGUCACGAAGAAACCUUCAGUGGGAAAGGAAUGCAGCUUGGGAUUCCAGCACACCCCUCCAAUGUGGUGUCCAAUUGUUUCUUCUCUAGUUUGGCUUCUUCCAUUGUGUGCUGCAUAUAAAGGAAAGUGGAUUAUGUUUGGAACCAUCAAAUUAGGACAGCUGGCUGGUGUUCUGGAAAGGACUGAGGAGCAUAUGAGGAGACCUGGUUGAUCCUGGUUUUUUCAGUACUUUGCUGAGUUAGUCAUCCACUCUCUAGACCUGUUUCCUUACCUAAAAGAAAAAAAGGAGGUUUUGGUGAGGUCCUUUUCAGCUCUAUUUCUAGGAACAAUAUAGAAGCACGAUUCAAUUACUUUAAACCCUUGGUUGCUGGAAAUCUACGAGGAUGAUAAAAGAAAGCAACAAAAAAUUUGGAAAGUUCGCAUAUCAGUAGCUCAAAAAAUUGAAGAUAAUUAGGCAGAUAGCUGGAUGCAAAAGCUAGAUGUCUUGAGUAUUUUUAUAAUGAGUCUUUAUUUCUCUUUGCUCUUUUAGAAAAUGAGUUUUUAGAAAUCUGCAGUAGAGAGUUUUCAAAAGAUUGGAAAAGCAAAUAAUCAUUACUACUGUAAUGUUUGUGAUUUUCAUUACAUUUGAGUUUUCCGUGAUUUCAAAAACUGCCACAAAUGAAUAGACGUGAAAUGUCUUAAAGUUUUGCAGCUAAGAAUUCCAUUUGCAACAAAAAUUAGACUGUUAAAAGUAAAUUCAGUUAGUAAAUUUAGAAGGAAUAAUUUUUACUCUAAUAUCCCAAACUCUUUCAGAGGAAUUAAGGCUUUUCUUCAACAAUAAUAUCAUAAACACAAUUUUAUGAGCAAAUUAAAUUAUGCAUUCUUUUGUCUAUAAACUAGUAAAAUGACACUAACAAUCUUAGCUUCCAUGGUGUUCAACACUUUGCAACAACAGUUUCAUGUUUCUUCUUUUUCUUUGAGCCUCAUAACUGCUUUGAAAGUAAAUUGGAUAGAAUUUAUUAUUCCCACUUCACAUAUGAGGAAAAAGAGGCUCAGGACUUGGGAUUUUCCUGGAUUUAUGUAGCUAUUAAUUUAAGCUAGAAUCCGAGAUCCUGAAUCCUGUCUAAUGCUCCAAGCAUCCAAAAAUGGGUGCACACAUAACCUGAGUUUCUCUUCUGUGUUUUGCUGGGUUUUUUUGUUUUUUGUUUUAAUAAAGGACCCCAAAGUACUUCCAACAAUUCCUGGCAGACUUUGAGACUGCUGUGUGGCACAGGACCUUAUGAACAAGUUUGGGCAGCUACAGCGAAUCUGCCAGUCAUGUCCCUUCUGCUGUCACCCUACUCCUUCAAGCCCUGCUGUCAGGCAUGGCUGUCACUUCUGUCAGGCCACUCUUACUUGUUGCUGUGGUGAGAUCUUAGUUGUGUUGGGGUGUUUCUUGUAUUUUAGACAAAAUCUAGGUGAGAAUGGUGCAUCUUAUUCUGAAUUCACUUUGAGGUAUUGUGGCAAUGCAAAACUGAGACAAAAUCCUUUUUAAAAACAUUCCUUCAUGGAGUAUAACAUUUUAACAAUUGGAUUUUAGGAAUCUGAUUAUGUUUUGCCUAAAAUGCAUCAAUAAAGACUGUGUUCAGUGUGAUAAGGAAGGAACAAAGAACAUAAGACUUUGUGCCACUCUCCAGGCCUUACAUUCUCUGAGCAUAAAAUAUUAAGGCUUUCAAUUAGAAUAUAGUUGAAUGAUUAUAUGAAAGAUUUUGCUGUGCCAUUUUGAGACACUGCUAUAAGAUCUGCUAAAUACGUCUACAAGUCAAAGAGAUUGAGGGAGGCAGAAUAAUCCACUUGAAGGCUGUGGAGAAAAGAUGGAGGAAACGCAAGGGAAUGAAAGAGUUGAGUUGAGAGAGAAGAACCAGGCAUAAUUUUGUUCAAAAUUUUACUCUUUGUUAGCAGUAAAUUAAAAUAAGGUAGUGCUUUCUGAUGACUCAUAAGAUAGAUGUUGCAUGAAAGGGUAUUGGAAUCAACAGUCACAAAUAAGACAGCGAAACAUGGAAGAAUGAUCUUAGGUAGUUUGUUCCACUUGCCUUUUAUCUUUUACACCUGUGUUUGAAUUCAUCCAAACUUGCAUAAAUCCUUUACGCAGCUGUCGAAAUCGCACCUGAACAAGGGCUGAAGUCUCAGAUGGGCUAACAUUUCAUCAUUCUGAAUACUUAAACCCAAACAGGUUUAAACACUUUGCCAAACUCAAGGAUAACGGGCUUCCCAUUGAUCUUUGCUCUGUCCACAUGUUCUGCUGCGUGUGCCAAAAUGCACACUGCAGACUGCACUGGAUAGAAUCCCAUGAUUUUUAGCUACAGAAAAGCUCAAAAAUAUGGUUUUAAGGAUGAACAGUCUUCUUUGAAAUAUAUAGAGAAACACAUAUUUUGAUAUAUAUCAUUAGAUAAAGCGCAGUUGGUUGCUUGUACAAACCAAUCUACUGAAUUGAAUUUUUAUUUUCUUGUAAACAAGUAGAUAAAUAUAGUGUAUUUCUGAAAAGAACUAAUUACGUUUCUGAUAUUUUCACUAGAACUUCUUAUGACUUCUAUUCUGACUUCCCCAAUCUUAUCAUUUUUAACUUGAGGUCUGUCAUUAAAAUUUUUAAAAAAUUGGGAAAGUGUACACUGGCAUUGUAAAAUAUUCACACAGUACGGAAAGCUAUAGGAUGAAAAGUGGAAGGCCUCCUGUAUUAUCUUUCCCCCAAACUCCCCUCCUAGAGGUAACCCCUUUAACAGUUUUGUAUAUAUCCUUUUAGAUCUUUUGUAAAAUGCAUUACUUUCUGUGUGUGUAUGCAAUUAUAAAUAAAC